RNAcentral lists this unclassified non-coding RNA (339 nucleotides) under soil metagenome. RNAcentral's name for it is "partial contains 5.8S ribosomal RNA, internal transcribed spacer 2, and large subunit ribosomal RNA". The stretch from base 1 to 120 matches the Rfam family "5.8S ribosomal RNA", at positions 35 to 154 of the family's 154-position model. The record is from RNAcentral.
GAUGAAGAACGUGGCGAAAUGCGAUACGUAGUGUGAAUUGCAGAAUUCAGUGAAUCAUCGAAUCUUUGAACGCACAUUGCACCUCUCGGUAUUCCGGGAGGUAUGCCUGUUCGAGCGUCAUUUGUACCCUCAAGCUCUGCUUGGUGUUGGGUGUUUGUUCCGCCUCUGUGUGUGAACUCGCCUCAAAACAAUUGGCAGCCGGCGUACUUGUUUCGGAGCGCAGCACAUUUUGCGAUCCAGAUCAACGUACAGCGGCAUCCAAGAAGCCUUAUUUAACGCUCUUGACCUCGGAUCAGGUAGGGAUACCCGCUGAACUUAAGCAUAUCAAUAAGCGGAGGA